Molecule: ribosomal RNA, 412 nt
Filed under: Lingulaulax polyedra
Lineage: Eukaryota; Dinophyceae; Gonyaulacales; Lingulodiniaceae
Description: Lingulodinium polyedra partial Bacterial small subunit ribosomal RNA
Rfam family: Bacterial small subunit ribosomal RNA
Source: RNAcentral
UGUUUAUUGAAAUGGUGAAAUAUAUUGAUUGUGCAGGCUUAAAAUUUAUUUGAUAUUGUCAGCUUGAUUAGUAGAUAUUCCAUUCACGAAAACUUGAGGUGUGAACGGGAUUAGAUACCCCAUUAGUUCACGUAAUAAAUUAUGGCUUAUUGUGGUUUGAGAUUGUAUUUAACAAUUGAAGGAUGUAAACCUAAGAAGUAUGCUUUCAUAAGUGAAACUUAAAUGUUUUGGUGGUGAUUUAGAACAAUGGUGGAACAUAUGAUUUAAUUCGAUGUUAUGCGAUAAAGCUUAUCAAUUUUUGUUUUCUUUCCAUACCUUUUAGAAGGUAGAACUCUAUUCUCGGUAGUGCAUGGCUGUUUUUGAAGGUAAUGUUUUGUAAUAUCUGGUUCAGUUCAAUAAUAAUCGACACACU